UUAAUUUUGCAGGAGUGUGAACUACGUUCAUUUAGUUUAUAAAGUAUAUAUUCAUAAAAUAAUUUUUAGUAUUGGUAAUAAACAAAGAAUUUAGCUAAAUAAUACGAAAAAUUACGAAGACGAUAUGCUGGAUUGUGCUUUUGUAACACCGAUAUCUCUAUCGAACCAAUAAACCUCAGUGAAUAGAGAGGUUAUUUGCGAAAUGGAGUUUAAUGAAUUAAUUUUAGCAAGUAUUUCCGUUAUUAUAUGGCACCAUCAAUUAAUAUUAGAAUGGAAACGACGAAAAGAAAGACGAGAACAUCGUAAAAGAAGGAGAUGGUGGAUUCGUCCCAUAAAUCAAUUUAAAGUUCAACAAGGUUAUCAGACAAAUCUUGUAAGAGAAAUGGAGACGCAAGACCAUGAUGUAUUUUUUCAAAAUUUUCGCAUGUGGCCAGAGCAUUUUAAUUGGCUACUUAAUCAAGUGCAAGAUAAAUUAUUAAAGCGAAGCAGGAGGACUCCAUUGUGUCUUAAACUGCGUUUACAGGUGACACUCUUAUAUCUGGCUCUAGGAGACUCUAUUUUAAGUAAAUAUACUGAGUUUCGCAUAGGGAGAUCAACAGUGUACACGAUAAUCCUUGAGACCUGCCAAGCAAUUUGAGAAGCAUUACAACCAACUUUUCUCCCAACUAUGGAUAAAAAUUCAUGGAAUACAGUGGCACAGGGAUUUAUGGAUAAAUGGCAGUUCCCUAAUUGCGUCGGUGCCAUUGAUGGGAAACACAUACGCAUUAAAGCCCCUCCUAUGUCAGGAUCCCAAUUUUACAAUUAUAAAGGAUUUUUAGCAUGGUAAUUAUGGCUGCUUGCGAUGGAGAAUAUAAGUUUACAUGGGUGGAUAUUGGGCAGUACAGUUCAUUGAAUGAUGG
This 899-nucleotide unclassified non-coding RNA is filed under the name Harpegnathos saltator (Jerdon's jumping ant). RNAcentral's name for it is "uncharacterized LOC112588605, transcript variant X2". The record is from RNAcentral. Lineage: Eukaryota; Metazoa; Arthropoda; Insecta; Hymenoptera; Formicidae.